CUGGGGAGGCUACCAUGCAGUCGAGCGGAACGAGUUAUCUGAACCUUCGGGGAACGAUAACGGCGUCGAGCGGCGGACGGGUGAGUAAUGCCUAGGAAAUUGCCCUGAUGUGGGGGAUAACCAUUGGAAACGAUGGCUAAUACCGCAUAAUACCUUCGGGUCAAAGAGGGGGACCUUCGGGCCUCUCGCGUCAGGAUAUGCCUAGGUGGGAUUAGCUAGUUGGUGAGGUAAUGGCUCACCAAGGCGACGAUCCCUAGCUGGUCUGAGAGGAUGAUCAGCCACACUGGAACUGAGACACGGUCCAGACUCCUACGGGAGGCAGCAGUGGGGAAUAUUGCACAAUGGGCGCAAGCCUGAUGCAGCCAUGCCGCGUGUGUGAAGAAGGCCUUCGGGUUGUAAAGCACUUUCAGUCGUGAGGAAGGUAGUGUAGUUAAUAGCUGCAUUAUUUGACGUUAGCGACAGAAGAAGCACCGGCUAACUCCGUGCCAGCAGCCGCGGUAAUACGGAGGGUGCGAGCGUUAAUCGGAAUUACUGGGCGUAAAGCGCAUGCAGGUGGUUUGUUAAGUCAGAUGUGAAAGCCCGGGGCUCAACCUCGGAAUAGCAUUUGAAACUGGCAGACUAGAGUACUGUAGAGGGGGGUAGAAUUUCAGGUGUAGCGGUGAAAUGCGUAGAGAUCUGAAGGAAUACCGGUGGCGAAGGCGGCCCCCUGGACAGAUACUGACACUCAGAUGCGAAAGCGUGGGGAGCAAACAGGAUUAGAUACCCUGGUAGUCCACGCCGUAAACGAUGUCUACUUGGAGGUUGUGGCCUUGAGCCGUGGCUUUCGGAGCUAACGCGUUAAGUAGACCGCCUGGGGAGUACGGUCGCAAGAUUAAAACUCAAAUGAAUUGACGGGGGCC
Molecule: ribosomal RNA, 899 nt
Filed under: Vibrio harveyi
Lineage: Bacteria; Pseudomonadati; Pseudomonadota; Gammaproteobacteria; Vibrionales; Vibrionaceae
Description: bacterial SSU rRNA
Rfam family: Bacterial small subunit ribosomal RNA
Source: RNAcentral